UACGGGGGGAGCAAGCGUUGUUCGGAUUUACUGGGCGUAAAGGGCGCGUAGGCGGCCAGCGCAAGUCAGUUGUGAAAUCUCCGGGCUUAACUCGGAAAGGUCAACUGAUACUGCGCGGCUAGAGUGCAGAAGGGGCAACUGGAAAUCUCGGUGUAGCGGUGAAAUGCGUAGAUAUCGUAAGGAAGACCAGUGGCGAAGGCGGGUCUCUGGACAGUUCCUGACGCUGAGGCACGAAGGCCAGGGGAGCAAACGGG
Molecule: ribosomal RNA, 254 nt
Filed under: uncultured bacterium
Lineage: Bacteria
Description: partial 16S ribosomal RNA
Rfam family: Bacterial small subunit ribosomal RNA
Source: RNAcentral